RNAcentral lists this ribosomal RNA (4502 nucleotides) under bacterium. RNAcentral's name for it is "23S ribosomal RNA". The stretch from base 1 to 2589 matches the Rfam family "Bacterial large subunit ribosomal RNA". The record is from RNAcentral.
GUUACUUAUAUUAAGGGCAGAUGGUGGAUGCCUUGGGACCGGUAGGCGAUAAAGGACGUGGCGUGACUGCGAUAAGCUUCGGGGAGGUGUCGAGCAACCGUUGAUCCGGAGAUUUCCGAAUGGGGAAACCUCACGCGGUAAAACCGCGUGGCUGCCGUAGCGAUACGGUAAGCGCAAACCCGCUGAAGUGAAACAUCUUAGUAAGCGGAGGAAAAGAAACGAUUCUCCUAGUAGCGGCGAGCGAACGGGGAGAAGCCUAAACCUAGAUUCAGCAGCAAUGCUGGAUAUGGGGGUUGCAAGAUAGAGACGCAUCGCAAGAUGGGGAGUACUAGAAAUCAAAACUUCCGUAGCAGAAGACGCCUGGAACGGCGCACCAAAGAGGGUAAUAGUCCCGUACGCGAAACGGGUUUUGAUACUUCUCGUUUCUACUCUUAAGUACCGCGGGAAACGAACGUCCCGUGGGAAUCCGGCCGGACUGUUGGCCAAGGCUAAAUACCUGAUAUCACCGAUAGUGAACCAGUACCGUGAGGGAAAGGUGAAAAGUAGCCCGAUGAGGGCGGUGAAAUAGAACCUGAAACCAUGUCGCCUACAAAGAGUCGGAGCUCCGGUAGCAAUACCGUGAGUGACGGCGUGCUUUUUGCAGAACGAGCCAACGAGUUUCUUUUGUCAGUUUGUCUAAGUGCUUAUGGCACGGAGGCACAGGGAAACCGAGUCCGAAAGGGCGUCUAUGACUGACGGAGGAAGACCCGAAGCCAAUGCGAGCUUGCCAUGGCCAGGAUGAACUUAACAGAAAUGUUGAGGGAGGUCCGAACCCGUGAGCCGUGCAAUACUCUGGGAUGAGCUGUGGCAAGAAGUGAAAAGCUAAUCGAGCUUGGGAAUAGCUGGUUCUCUCCGAAAUAGCUUUCGGGCUAGCGUCAUCUAUGUCUUCUGGAGGUAGAGCUCUGGAAAGAAUAAUCUUGGAGCAAUCCAGAUAUCCUUACCAAACUCCGAAUGCCGGAAGAAUGAGGAUGGCAGUCAGAACAUGGGGGCUAAGCUCCGUGCUCAAAAGGGAAACAGCCCAGAUCUUCAUCUAAGGUCCCUAAAUCAGACUCAGUGUACUUAAGGAGGUGGAAUUCCAAAGAUAGCGAGGAGGUUCGCUCAGAAGCAGCUAUCCUUUAAAAAGUGCGUAACAGCUUACUCGCUCAGGAGUUCCGCGCCGAAGAUUCAUCGGGACUAAAGUCUGAUACCGAAGAUAAGAGCCUCGCUUUCGAGCGGGGCGGUAGGAGAGCGUCUCUAUCGCAGCGAAGCCUGAACGCGAGUGAAGGUGGAGCGAUGGGGAGUGAGAAUGUUGGCAUGAGUAACCGCAAUGACAGUGAAAGCCUGUCACACCGUAAACCCAAGGAUUCCUUGGCAAUGAUAAUCAACCAAGGGUGAGGCGGGCCUUAGUGUUGGACCGAAGGGUUCUACAUGAUGGACAGCAGGUUAAUAUUCCUGCCCUUCCACGUUUUUCUGAAGAGCAACGCAGGAUAGUAUUCUCGGCGAGUUAUUGGAUUCUCGUCUUCUGUCUGAGGAGCGAUCCCAAGACAGAGGGGAAACCAGUCUCUGACGGGUGAACCGAGGUGAGCAUCCUGCCCAGAAACGCUCGUAGGGAUAAAAACGUGGAAACCGUACCGCAAACCAACACAGGUGGGUUGGCGCGAAUAUGCUAAGGUGAACGAGCGAAACUUCUUUAAGGAACUAGGCAAAAAAGUGGUCGUAACUUCGGGAUAUGACCUACCCUGCAGCAAUGCGGGGUCGCAGCGACUGUUUCUCUAGCGACUGUUUACCAAAAACACAGGUCUCUGCUAAACUCGUAAGAGGAUGUAUAGGGGCUGACGCCUGACCAGUGCUGGUGUGUUAACGAUGCCAGUUGCAGGAUUUAUUCUGCAGCCGAGUGUCCGAAGCCCCAGUGAACGUCCGCGGUAACUAUAACCGUGUUAAAGUAGCGUAAUCUCUUGCCGGGUAAGUUCCGGCCCGCAUGAAAGGCGUAACGACUGGAGAACUGUCUCAAAGAAGCGCUCGGUGAAAAUGCAAUACCGGUAAAGAUGCCGGUUACCUGCGGCUAGACGGAAAGACCCCGGAAGCUUUACUGUAGCUUCCUAUUGUCUUACCAUCUUUGAUACGUAGCGUAGCGGGGAGGCUUUGAAGUCGCGUUCUCGGAUGCGAUGGAGCCGUCAAUGAAACACCCGUUUUUAAAGAGGGUAAGACUAAUCCGCCUGAGGCGGAAACAGUGGGUGGUAGGCAGUUUUAGUGGGGCGCUAGCCUCCUAAAGAGUAGCGGAGGCGUUUUAAAGGUAGGCUAUCCGCCAAUGGAAACGGUGGAGGUCGUGCAAAGGCACAAGCCUGCUUUACUGCGAGACGGAUAUGUCGAGCAGUUGGGAAACCAGAACUUAGUGAACCGAUGCGUUGUCACAGAAAACGCAAAGAUCAUCAGACAAAAGUUACUCCGGGGAUAACAGGCUGGUAGAGCCCGCGAGUCCAUAUCUACGGCUCUGUUCGGCACCUCGAUAGACAAAGCCGAAAUGUCGAGGCUAAAGCGACUCAUAACGGAGAAAGCCAUAUAGUAUAACCACAGGCUCACUGAUGGUAUAAUGUACAUAUAUGGUCAACACCGUGGGAAGUUAUGAGACCAAAUAUUGGCACAGAAGGUGGAUCCCUAUCAAGGACUCUGUCAUUCUUUCUUCAGAACAAAAAUCGUUAAUUAUCGGUUCUUUGUUGGGAGAUGGAACGAUGCGAGUAGGAAGAGGAGCUAAGAAUGCAAAUUUCAAAAUCGAGCAUGGAUUACAACAAAAAGAGUAUGUCGAUUGGAAAUAUGCCAUUCUAGCGCCAUUGGUAUUUACCGUUCCUAAAUUGAGUUAUCGGUAUACCGAAGAUAGGAAAAAAUAUCCAAAAUCUUGGUGGUUUCGAACCAUACGACACCCAUUAUUUACUGAAAUCUACGAUAGGUUUUACGUAAAAGAUGGAUAUCGCGCUGGAAGGAAAAUAGUUCCUUUCUCAGCGUAUUCAGAACUUACUCCACUAGCUCUUGCUAUAUGGAUUAUGGAUGAUGGUUCGUAUAACCGAGGAAGAAUGGAUAUAAGUACAUACUCUUUUCUGGAGAAGGAAGUCAUCUUUCUGCAGGAAUGUAUGGAAAAGAAAUUUGGAAUCAGCAUGCGAUACUUCAACGAUAGGGGGAAGGGGUAUCGAAUGUAUGCAAAUCAGGAAGAAAGCAGAAGGUUGAUCCAAAUUAUCCGCCCCUACGUGAUACCUUGUCUUCAAUACAAGGUUGGUCUAUAACCCCGUAACGACUGGAUCUUUGUAUGCCAACAUACAAAGUGAAGAUACCUUGGAUUUUCCAUGGUAUAACACGUCGCUGUCUAAAGAAUUAUCUUUAGGCAAAGGUAUAGUCUACUCUAUUAGUAAUAAUAGGUUUAAGUGGUCGGCUCAUCUUAUCCUGGGGCUGGAAAAGGUCCCAAGGGUUUGGCUGUUCGCCAAUUAAAAAGGUACGUGAGCUGGGUUCAAACCGUCAACAAAGAACCUUUAGACAUUGAGAUCACACGGCGGCUUUCACGAGUAAUCGUGAUUGCAAACCGACUCAUAUCGGUGAAGUCCUAUCUUGUAUGAACAACCUGUCAUAUGAUAGGAUAAUACCGAGGGAAGUCGUAUAUGCUUCAUCAAACACACAAAGCAUAUCUUGCGGGAUUUCUGGAUGGAGACGGAAGUAUUUAUGUGCGUCUGAAACCGAAUCCGACAUAUCGGUACGGAUUUCAGGUGGCGCCAUACAUCGUCCUUUUCCAAUCUCAGAAAAGUCGCAAGAAAUUUGAGAAGAUUUGUUCUCUCAUAGGAUUAGGGCAUUUGCGCGUACGCAAAGACGGAAUUCUGGAAUACAUCAUCAGUAAAAAGGAUGCAUUACAGAAAUUCCUGCGCAUGGUAAGACCUUUUGUAAUUCUGAAGAAUGAACAAGUAAAUCUCAUGUUGGAAAUCUUGGAAAAGAAGGAACGCGUAAAAGGAAAGAAGGAUUUCCAACAGCUUGCAAGUUUGAUUGAACGUUUCCGAGAAUUGAAUUAUUCCAAGAAACGCAAAAAGCGUGUAUUGACCCCGUAGAGACUCAUUCCUUUGUGGAAUGGACGGAAGUUUAAUAUAUUUCCGUAACACGUCGGCAUCCUUUUGAAGGAUGGUGGUAUAGUCCAUACAUUUGGUAACAAGUGAAGUUAAGCGUGAGACAGGUUGGCCCCUAUCUACCGCAGGCGUUUAGAAUCUUGAGGAGAGUUGUUCCUAGUACGAGAGGACCGGAACGAACCAACCUCUGGUGUACCAGUUGUUCCGCCAGGAGCAUCGCUGGGUAGCUAAGUUGGGACAGGAUAAGCGCUGAAAGCAUCUAAGCGCGAAGCCCCCUCCAAGAUGAGGAUUCAUUGAUCCCUCGGAGACUACGAGGUUGAUAGGCUUCAGGUGGAAGCCCCGUAAGGGGUGCAGCCGAGAAGUACUAAUGAUCAACAUAUGCAAUGU